Molecule: ribosomal RNA, 1437 nt
Filed under: Triticum aestivum (bread wheat)
Lineage: Eukaryota; Viridiplantae; Streptophyta; Magnoliopsida; Poales; Poaceae
Description: partial small subunit ribosomal RNA
Source: RNAcentral
AUGGACAUAGCUCAUAGAGACCACCUCCUUGCAGCCUUCCACGGCGUCGUCGCCGUCGCCGUGCUCCUCCUCUGCCUCCUCGCAGAGGUUCUCGUCUUCGCCUUGAGGCUGCGCACGGCGCUCUACCUCGUCCCGGUAUCUGCGAUGCUACUCCUCUGCUUCUUCGGGCGCCGCCCGGCGGACAUCGGUCUCGUCGACUUCUCGUGCCUAAAGCCGCCUCGCCGGCUGCGCCUCCCGCUGGCCAAGGUAAUCGAGAACUUCAAGCUCUGCGGCUGCUUCAACCGCGACACCGUGGAGUUCAUGACCAAGGCCAUCCAGGCCGGCGGCAUGGGCAACGAGACCUACCUCCCGCCGGCCAUGCACUGCAUCCCUCCGGCGGCUGCACACGCAGAUGCCAUCCAGGAGGCGCAUGCGCUCUUCUUCCCCACUCUGGACGAUCUCUUCGCCAAGACCGGCGUGGCGCCGUCGGCCGUUGGGGCGCUCAUUGUCAACUGCAGCGGCUUCUGCCCAGCGCCGUCGCUCACGGCCGUCAUCGCCAACCACUACGGGAUGCGCAGCGAUCUAAAGACCUUUAACCUUUCCGGCAUGGGCUGCUCCGCCGGCGUCGUCGCCGUGGACGUUGCGAGCAGCCUGCUGCGGUUGCACUUGCACUCCAUGUCCUGUGCCGUUGUCGUCAGCGCCGAGAUCUUCGCGGGCAGGUUCUACGUCGGCAAUGAGCACGCUAAGCUUCUCCUCAACUGCUACUUCCGCACUGGCUGCUCCGCCGCGCUGGUAACGAACAAACAAGGCAUGGCCGCCGGAGUGCCGAUCAAGUACCGGCUCGUCAGCUCAACGCGCACAAACCAGAUAGCCAACGACCGCAGCUACCGCUCGGGCUACUGGGACGACGACGAGGAGGGCAUUGCCGGCUUCACCGUCGGCCAGGGCGUCGGCCGCAUGUUCAGCGAAAUGCUGCGCGCGCACCUCGCCGCGCUCGGCCUCUCCAUCCUGCCGUGGCGCGAGAAGCUGCGCUACAUGGCCGCGCUGCUGCUGCUGUCACUGCGCAUACGCCGCCACAAACUCGUCGGCUCCGCCGCGCCGACGCCCGACUUCCGCGUGGCGGCAGACCACUUCUGUCUACCGUCAAACAAUCGGCCGAUAAUAUCGAGGCUGGGGCAGGGACUCGGGCUGGGCGAGAGAGAGGUGGAGGCGGCGCUCAUGACGUUCCACCGGUUCGGCAACCAGUCGGCGGCGUCGCUGUGGUACCAGCUCGCGUACCUCGAGGCCAAGGGCAGAGUCCGGGAGGGCGACACGGUGUGGCAGCUCGGCGUCGGGAGCGGGCUGAAGGCCAACAGCUUGGUGUGGCAGCGCGUCGCCGGCGCCGGCGGGCGCGACGGGAGGGGAGCGCUUGGGCCGUGGGUGGACUGUAUCCACCGCUACCCUAUCAAGGAAUCCUAA